Molecule: unclassified non-coding RNA, 511 nt
Filed under: Hevea brasiliensis (rubber tree)
Lineage: Eukaryota; Viridiplantae; Streptophyta; Magnoliopsida; Malpighiales; Euphorbiaceae
Source: RNAcentral
ACAUUUCUCAUUGUGAAUAUUUAAGUAUAUUGGUGGACCAUGGACUUCAUUGACUUCCAGUCUUCCACAGUUAACACUAGUUGAAAAACAUUUCUCAAUCGAGAAAAUGCAGAAAGGGAAUAGGCAUAUUGUGUUCUACACGAAGUUACAAGAGACUGACACCUGAGCUCAUAUUCACCUAUCAAUGAAAUAAGCUCUAUAUUAGGUAUAGAGUUUGCUGGAAAAACAUGUAUAAGCUUAGGUUUAAUCCAAGAGAUCCAAGCUAGAGCAGGCUGUUCAUAGUCAAACGAAAAGACCUAUUUGCUGAUAUGAAACUUAUAGAAUUGACUUUGGUAGUAGGCUGCUUCCUUGGGCAGCUUCUAUUUAGAGAACAAGACCAGAUUUCAUGCUUUGCUGACCUAUUGAAUUCACUAUCUUUAAUUUAAUUAUACACACAAGAAAUGAAUGCACAUGCUCACAUUUGCAUAUAUAUCAUGGGCAGAAAUACCUUGCUAUGUUAAGUACGCUCAAA